Molecule: ribosomal RNA, 486 nt
Filed under: uncultured bacterium
Lineage: Bacteria
Description: partial 16S ribosomal RNA
Rfam family: Bacterial small subunit ribosomal RNA
Source: RNAcentral
AUUGAACGCUGGCGGCAUGCCUUACACAUGCAAGUCGAACGGCAGCACGGGUGCUUGCACCUGGUGGCGAGUGGCGAACGGGUGAGUAAUACAUCGGAACAUGUCCUGUAGUGGGGGAUAGCCCGGCGAAAGCCGGAUUAAUACCGCAUACGAUCCACGGAUGAAAGCGGGGGACCUUCGGGCCUCGCGCUAUAGGGUUGGCCGAUGGCUGAUUAGCUAGUUGGUGGGGUAAAGGCCUACCAAGGCGACGAUCAGUAGCUGGUCUGAGAGGACGACCAGCCACACUGGGACUGAGACACGGCCCAGACUCCUACGGGAGGCAGCAGUGGGGAAUUUUGGACAAUGGGCGAAAGCCUGAUCCAGCAAUGCCGCGUGUGUGAAGAAGGCCUUCGGGUUGUAAAGCACUUUUGUCCGGAAAGAAAUCCUUGACUCUAAUACAGUCGGGGGAUGACGGUACCGGAAGAAUAAGCACCGACUAACUACGUG